GAUGAACGCUGGCGGCGUGCUUAACACAUGCAAGUCGAACGAAACACCUUAUUUGAUUUUCUUCGGAACUGAAGAUUUGGUGAUUGAGUGGCGGACGGGUGAGUAACGCGUGGGUAACCUACCCUGUACAGGGGGAUAACAGUCAGAAAUGACUGCUAAUACCGCAUAAGACCACAGCACCGCAUGGUGCAGGGGUAAAAACUCCGGUGGUACAGGAUGGACCCGCGUCUGAUUAGCUGGUUGGUGAGGUAACGGCUCACCAAGGCGACGAUCAGUAGCCGGCUUGAGAGAGUGAACGGCCACAUUGGGACUGAGACACGGCCCAAACUCCUACGGGAGGCAGCAGUGGGGAAUAUUGCAAAAUGGGGGAAAGCCUGAUGCAGCGACGCCGCGUGAGUGAAGAAGUAUUUCGGUAUGUAAAGCUCUAUCAGCAGGGAAGAAAAUGACGGUACCUGACUAAGAAGCCCCGGCUAACUACGUG
Molecule: ribosomal RNA, 481 nt
Filed under: uncultured bacterium
Lineage: Bacteria
Description: partial 16S ribosomal RNA
Rfam family: Bacterial small subunit ribosomal RNA
Source: RNAcentral